GACGAACGCUGGCGGCGUGCUUAACACAUGCAAGUCGAACGGAAAGGCCCUGCUUUUGUGGGGUGCUCGAGUGGCGAACGGGUGAGUAACACGUGAGUAACCUGCCCUUGACUUUGGGAUAACUUCAGGAAACUGGGGCUAAUACCGGAUAGGAGCUCCUGCUGCAUGGUGGGGGUUGGAAAGUUUCGGCGGUUGGGGAUGGACUCGCGGCUUAUCAGCUUGUUGGUGGGGUAGUGGCUUACCAAGGCUUUGACGGGUAGCCGGCCUGAGAGGGUGACCGGCCACAUUGGGACUGAGAUACGGAGCAGACUCCUACGGGAGGCAGCAGUGGGGAAUAUUGCACAAUGGGCGGAAGCCUGAUGCAGCAACGCCGCGUGCGGGAUGACGGCCUUCGGGUUGUAAACCGCUUUCGCCUGUGACGAAGCGUGAGUGACGGUAAUGGGUAAAGAAGCACCGGCUAACUACGUG
Molecule: ribosomal RNA, 468 nt
Filed under: uncultured bacterium
Lineage: Bacteria
Description: partial 16S ribosomal RNA
Rfam family: Bacterial small subunit ribosomal RNA
Source: RNAcentral